UAACGAAUCUUCCGCAAUGCGCGAAAGCGUGACGGAGCAAUGCCGCGUGCAGGAUGAAGCCCCUCGGGGUGUAAACUGCUGUCAGGGUUUAGAAAGAAAGUGAUCAAACCCAAAGGAAGAGGCGACUAACUCUGUGCCAGCAGUCGCGGUAAUACAGAGGCCUCGAGCGUUAAUCGGAAUCACUGGGCUUAAAGCGUACGUAGGCGGUCCCUCAGGCAUCGUGUGAAAUCCCGCGGCUCAACCGCGGAAC
This 250-nucleotide ribosomal RNA is filed under the name uncultured bacterium. RNAcentral describes it as "partial 16S ribosomal RNA". It matches the Rfam family "Bacterial small subunit ribosomal RNA", at positions 355 to 621 of the family's 1533-position model. The record is from RNAcentral.